RNAcentral lists this long non-coding RNA (567 nucleotides) under Ananas comosus (pineapple). Its description in RNAcentral is "long non-coding RNA (ACOM_LNC037858)". The record is from RNAcentral. Lineage: Eukaryota; Viridiplantae; Streptophyta; Magnoliopsida; Poales; Bromeliaceae.
UUUAAAAUGGGUAAACUUCAUAUACCACUGCCGUACUUUCGCACUGUCUCACUUUAGUGUCAUGUGGUUUAAAGUAUAUCAAGUUAGCGUCUUGUGGUUUCAUUUUUAUCUUUUCGUCAAAUUUUUUGUUAAUGUAUCGUUAAAUUAUAUAAAAAAAAAAUUCAAAUAUUCCAACUAGGUUUAUCGAAUAUUCACUUUAGUACCCUUAGUACCCUUUAGUUUUAACUUUGUCGCUGAUUUAAUUAGUUUUAACUUUGUCGCUGAUUUAACGAAAAAAAUUAGUGGAAUCGAUGAUAAAAAAAAUAAAAAUGAAACCACGGGCACUAAAUUGAUACUAAGGUUUUAAGUGUCCGUCGGAACGGACCGUAUCCACCGUGCUGUACCGUGCCUAUAAGAUACCGGCACAGACCCUGUGCCAAUGGCGUAACUCAAAAUCCUCUAUUCUUUAAAUUAGUAAGUAAUUUUCUUAAUAAAGUUCAAAAGAUGUGAUAAAAAGACAUAAUAAAUAGUUAGAAUAUUUAGUUGCUAAAGAAAAUAAAUAAUUCAUGCUAUUAUGUAUCGGCACAC